CAACUAAUGCAGCAGUAAAUACAGAGAACAACAGGACAAAUCUGUGUUGUUCUGUGGUGUUGGCAUUUCAAAUCCGAUGCCUGCAGUGCGCCAUAGGAGCAUCAAAUGAGGCGCGUCAAUUAUCGCUUUUGGGAGUGUAUUUGGGACUUCAGGCUUCCAUCUUGAGAACCUGCAGAAGAAAAAUGUGGCCGCUGAGCCAUUGUGAUGCAAAUUGAGGAGGGAAAACGUGAAACGAGAGACUCAGAAAAAGAAAAGCCUGAAGGAGGCAUCAUCUUUUUCCAUUACUGGCCUCAAUCGAUUUUGGCUAAAAAUAAAAACCAGCAGGACUCUGAUCCCGUUGCAUUCACAGAUGACCGCACAAGCCAAGUGUCACAUCAGAUGCUACUUGAACCUGUGUUUAUUUAUGUGGAAAUCUAGCUGCUGUCUGCCAAACUGAGAGUCUGUUCUCUACUCUUGGUCGGAGCGUCUCACUCUGUCGCUGUUUCCUGCCAACUGAAAUUUAGGAGCCAAAACAAGGACUACACUAACAGACUGAUGGAUCACUUUACGUCUCAGAUGGCACCAACACUGACAAACAAAAGCGGUGAUGCUUCGGUUAAAUGGCCCUCCACAGGAAACACACGACUGAGGGGGAAACAAUACAGCACUGCCAGACCAAGAACCACGAUGACACUGCAGAAUCACCGAGAUCACCGAGAUGAGACUUAUUGACAUUUGAUUCACUCGCAUUAAGUCAAGGAUGAGAUGUAGAAGAAAGAGCAAGAGAAGAAGAGAUAGAUAGAGAGAGAGAAAGCUGUUGACCCAUAUUUACUGUAUCAUUUUCCCUCCCCUCCCCUCCCCUCCGUCUCUCAUUGACCUCCCUCUUUUACCCCGGAUCUAUUUUUAGCUGCAGCCACUCUCGCUCAGGCCUAAUAUAAGAAUAGAUGUUCCUCGCAAGAAACGCAACAGAAAAUAUUCUGCAGGCAAUAAGUUUUUAGGCGAUCUGGUCGUUUUGCUGUAAGAUGUGGGUUGACUGGACCGUGAGGCAAUUCAUUUAUUUUGUUAAAUCGCUUGAUGAUGAUGAUGGUGCUUUAUUUCCUUAUCUCUCCCCAACAACUCAAUCUUCCACCUCGUUAUUCAGCUUUUAUGAGGCUGUUUUUUGCCUUUUGACGCAGUGGUUUGUGACAUCUGCUUUGUUUGCAAUAAGUCCUCAAAAUUAAACAACCAAAUACAUUGUUUGACCAUGUGACUCCAAAAUGACACAUCGGCAGUAUUCAGCAGAACAUCAUCAUUUAUAAAAUAAAAAAAUCACUGUUAAAAAACAAACAUGUUUUAUGAUGUGACAACGCUGUGGUUAAG
Thunnus maccoyii (southern bluefin tuna) is the source of this 1338-nucleotide long non-coding RNA. RefSeq lists it as uncharacterized. The transcript has 3 exons. The record is from RefSeq and is a predicted model, not a curated record. Lineage: Eukaryota; Metazoa; Chordata; Actinopteri; Scombriformes; Scombridae.